RNAcentral lists this ribosomal RNA (253 nucleotides) under uncultured bacterium. RNAcentral describes it as "partial 16S ribosomal RNA". It matches the Rfam family "Bacterial small subunit ribosomal RNA", at positions 524 to 776 of the family's 1533-position model. The record is from RNAcentral.
UACGAAGGGGGCUAGCGUUGUUCGGAAUCACUGGGCGUAAAGGGCGCGUAGGCGGCUUUGUAAGUCGGGGGUGAAAGCCUGUGGCUCAACCACAGAAUUGCCUUCGAUACUGCAUGGCUUGAGACCGGAAGAGGUAAGUGGAACUGCGAGUGUAGGGGUGAAAUUCGUAGAUAUUCGCAAGAACACCAGUGGCGAAGGCGGCUUACUGGUCCGGUUCUGACGCUGAGGCGCGAAAGCGUGGGGAGCAAACAGG